GCUACACAUGCAGUCGAGCGGAACGAUGGUAGCUUGCUACCAGGCGUCGAGCGGCGGACGGGUGAGUAAUACUUAGGAAUCUACCUAGUAGUGGGGGAUAGCACGGGGAAACUCGUAUUAAUACCGCAUACGACCUACGGGAGAAAGGGGGCAGUUUACUGCUCUCGCUAUUAGAUGAGCCUAAGUCGGAUUAGCUAGAUGGUGGGGUAAAGGCCUACCAUGGCGACGAUCUGUAGCUGGUCUGAGAGGAUGAUCAGCCACACCGGGACUGAGACACGGCCCGGACUCCUACGGGAGGCAGCAGUGGGGAAUAUUGGACAAUGGGGGAAACCCUGAUCCAGCCAUGCCGCGUGUGUGAAGAAGGCCUUUUGGUUG
RNAcentral lists this ribosomal RNA (375 nucleotides) under bacterium fme09x27p70. Its description in RNAcentral is "bacterial SSU rRNA". It matches the Rfam family "Bacterial small subunit ribosomal RNA", at positions 48 to 425 of the family's 1533-position model. The record is from RNAcentral.